UACGGAGGGUGCGAGCGUUGUCCGGAUUUAUUGGGUUUAAAGGGUGCGUAGGUGGCUUUAUAAGUCAGUGGUGAAAUACAGCCGCUCAACGGUUGAGGUGCCAUUGAUACUGUAGAGCUUGAAACAAGUGGAGGCUGCCGGAAUGGAUGGUGUAGCGGUGAAAUGCAUAGAUAUCAUCAGGAACUCCGAUAGCGAAGGCAGGCUGCUUGGCCCCAUCUGACGCUCAUGCACGAAAGCGUGGGGAUCAAACAGG
Molecule: ribosomal RNA, 253 nt
Filed under: uncultured bacterium
Lineage: Bacteria
Description: partial 16S ribosomal RNA
Rfam family: Bacterial small subunit ribosomal RNA
Source: RNAcentral